RNAcentral lists this long non-coding RNA (211 nucleotides) under Polistes fuscatus (common paper wasp). Its description in RNAcentral is "uncharacterized LOC122525709". The record is from RNAcentral. Lineage: Eukaryota; Metazoa; Arthropoda; Insecta; Hymenoptera; Vespidae.
AUAUAUGCGCCCAUAGCACUCAAAGGAUUAAAGAAGUUUACUAGUGUGUCAUUCUAUCUGUGCAUAUGUAUUAUUGAAAAUAGUUUUAUAUUACUGAGAAAAAAAAAAUCAUGUUUAUGGGAAUGUUCGAUAUUCCGUAGUGACAAUCGCGACGAUAAAAAUAUACGUUAAGUGCAGACGUCGUUGUCGUAAGAUUCUCAUAGAGAAAGAA